CAGACUUUGAUCUGGCUCAGGAUGAACGCUAGCUACAGGCUUAACACAUGCAAGUCGAGGGGAAACGAUAUUGGAAGCUUGCUUCCGAUAGGCGUCGACCGGCGCACGGGUGAGUAACGCGUAUCCAACCUGCCCAUCACUUGGGGAUAACCUUGCGAAAGUAAGACUAAUACCCAAUGAUAUCUCUAGAAGACAUCUGAAGGAGAUUAAAGAUUUAUCGGUGAUGGAUGGGGAUGCGUCUGAUUAGCUUGUUGGCGGGGUAACGGCCCACCAAGGCAACGAUCAGUAGGGGUUCUGAGAGGAAGGUCCCCCACAUUGGAACUGAGACACGGUCCAAACUCCUACGGGAGGCAGCAGUGAGGAAUAUUGGUCAAUGGACGAGAGUCUGAACCAGCCAAGUAGCGUGCAGGAUGACGGCCCUAUGGGUUGUAAACUGCUUUUAUAAGGGAAUAAAGUGGGAGUCGUGACUCUUUUUGCAUGUACCUUAUGAAUAAGGACCGGCUAAUUCCGUGCCAGCAGCCGCGGUAAUACGGAAGGUCCGGGCGUUAUCCGGAUUUAUUGGGUUUAAAGGGAGCGUAGGCCGGAGAUUAAGCGUGUUGUGAAAUGUAGAUGCUCAACAUCUGCACUGCAGCGCGAACUGGUUUCCCUGAGUACGCACAAAGUGGGCGGAAUUCGUGGUGUAGCGGUGAAAUGCUUAGAUAUCACGAAGAACUCCGAUUGCGAAGGCAGCUCACUGGAGCGCAACUGACGCUGAAGCUCGAAAGUGCGGGUAUCGAACAGGAUUAGAUACCCUGGUAGUCCGCACGGUAAACGAUGGAUGCCCGCUGUUGGUCUGAAUAGGUCAGCGGCCAAGCGAAAGCAUUAAGCAUCCCACCUGGGGAGUACGCCGGCAACGGUGCAACUCAAAUGAAUUGACGGA
RNAcentral lists this ribosomal RNA (919 nucleotides) under uncultured bacterium. RNAcentral's name for it is "bacterial SSU rRNA". It matches the Rfam family "Bacterial small subunit ribosomal RNA", at positions 1 to 917 of the family's 1533-position model. The record is from RNAcentral. RNAcentral also lists the same sequence under 1 other name.